AACGCUAGCUACAGGCUUAACACAUGCAAGUCGAGGGGAAACGACAUCGAAAGCUUGCUUCCGAUGGGCGUCGACCGGCGCACGGGUGAGUAACGCGUAUCCAACCUGCCCACCACUUGGGGAUAACCUUGCGAAAGUAAGACUAAUACCCAAUGACGUCUCUAGAAGACAUCUGGAAGAGAUUAAAGAUUUAUCGGUGAUGGAUGGGGAUGCGUCUGAUUAGCUUGUUGGCGGGGUAACGGCCCACCAAGGCUACGAUCAGUAGGGGUUCUGAGAGGAAGGUCCCCCACAUUGGAACUGAGACACGGUCCAAACUCCUACGGGAGGCAGCAGUGAGGAAUAUUGGUCAAUGGGCGAGAGCCUGUACCAGCCAAGUAGCGUGCAGGAUGACGGCCCUAUGGGUUGUAAACUGCUUUUAUAAGGGAAUAAAGUGAGUCUCGUGAGACUUUUUGCAUGUACCUUAUGAAUAAGGACCGGCUAAUUCCGUGCCAGCAGCCGCGGUAAUACGGAAGGUCCGGGCGUUAUCCGGAUUUAUUGGGUUUAAAGGGAGCGUAGGCCGGAGAUUAAGCGUGUUGUGAAAUGUAGACGCUCAACGUCUGCACUGCAGCGCGAACUGGUUUCCUUGAGUACGCACAAAGUGGGCGGAAUUCGUGGUGUAGCGGUGAAAUGCUUAGAUAUCACGAAGAACUCCGAUUG
This 696-nucleotide ribosomal RNA is filed under the name uncultured bacterium. RNAcentral's name for it is "bacterial SSU rRNA". It matches the Rfam family "Bacterial small subunit ribosomal RNA", at positions 32 to 715 of the family's 1533-position model. The record is from RNAcentral.